This is a long non-coding RNA of Physeter macrocephalus (sperm whale), 437 nucleotides long. RefSeq lists it as uncharacterized. The record is from RefSeq and is a predicted model, not a curated record. The transcript is spliced from 3 exons. NCBI's taxonomy places the organism in Eukaryota, Metazoa, Chordata, Mammalia, Artiodactyla, Physeteridae.
UCCCCACCGCAGUGCAUAGAGACACAGCUGGCCCCGGAGCUCUCCCACCUGGGUCUCAGCUUCUUCCCAAUGCUCCAUGAGCCCUCCGAUUGGAGAGGAGUUGAUGAACAUUCUUCCGUGACCAUUCUGCUUCUGUUGGUGACUUCUUGCCUGCUGCCUGACAGUGGCUGUCCCUGCGACCACAGACUGGAGGCAGGCAGCUUGGGCAGGCCUCCACCAGCAAAGCACUGCUGGCUGGUGGCAACUAUGCAUUUUUUAUUGAAGCACAGGCUCCGGACGUGCAGGCCCAGCGGCCAUGGCUCAUGGGCCCAGCCGCUCCACGGCACGUGGGAUCCUCCCGGACCAGGGGCACGAACCCGUGUCCCCUGCAUCGGCAGGCGGACUCUCAACCACUGCGCCACCAGGGAAGCCCUGAUACGAUUAUUUUUAAAAGCUAA